Ictidomys tridecemlineatus (thirteen-lined ground squirrel) is the source of this 932-nucleotide non-coding RNA. The record is from RefSeq and is a predicted model, not a curated record. NCBI's taxonomy places the organism in Eukaryota, Metazoa, Chordata, Mammalia, Rodentia, Sciuridae.
GCAAAGUCCUAUGGAAGCCCCCAUCUGGGCAUCUUGUCCUCAGAGACCCAGUAGGGCAAAGGCAAGAGGAAAAGUUCUCCCACAUCCUCUUCAGAAUUUGAUCCCAAGGAAAUACAGCCAAACAUGAUGCCCCACCCACAGAAAGAAAGCUUACUCGUCAGUAGCUAUCCAGCCAAGUCUCCAGUUGCUGACUCUCUUCAGGAGGAACACAGGAGAAGAUGCAAGGAAAAGAAGGAGACCACACCCUGCCAUUGGACUUUUGGAAACUCUUUCAAAGGAGAAGGUGAGAAGAAACUGUCUGAUCUGAUUGCUGAAGGUGUUGGCACCCACUGAUAAAGCAGAUGCAAACCCCAAGUGGACUGUGACUUGAAGACCCAAGUAGAGUUUAUUUAUUAGGGAGGUUUUUAUGUGUCAAGGGAAGAACAUCAUAUAAAUACCACUGGUUCUAAACAAUGUUCCAUUAGAGUGGCAGCAUUUAGUAAUGUACUCCAUGGUAGAACCAAAGGACAUCUUGAGCAUGUUCCAUUGUUGCAUCUCAUUGGCUCUAAAAUGGAUCAUGUGAGCUGAGAUAGUAUGCAUAUUGCUGUGAUAAUAAAUCAGAAACACCACAUGACUUCAGUGCUGGACAAAUCACUGCAGAAUGGAAGACAAGCAGAAUAUCAAUCCCAGUGAGAAAAAAAAUUAUUGACCAUUUAAGGCAGAAUACUAUCAACUAUCUAAUUCUAUCGACUUGAAGCCAAGUGGUUUGUUGGUCUCCUCAGAGAAGACUAAAUUGGGACCAUAUUACAAAUUCUUUUUGUCACGGAAUUGGAUGCACGGUCAUGAGAGCAGCUAAAUAAACCUCAUGAGAGGCAACCCAUGGUUUUCAACCUGUGCAUAUUAUCCCUCUCUGCGACUCCAUCUAUGGGAUCCAUUGUGCUAGCAUUUGAAGA